UACGUAGGGUGCAAGCGUUAAUCGGAAUUACUGGGCGUAAAGCGUGCGCAGGCGGCUAUGCAAGACAGAUGUGAAAUCCCCGGGCUCAACCUGGGAACUGCAUUUGUGACUGCAUGGCUAGAGUGCGGCAGAGGGGGGAUGGAAUUCCGCGUGUAGCAGUGAAAUGCGUAGAUAUGCGGAGGAACACCGAUGGCGAAGGCAAUCCCCUGGGCCUGCACUGACGCUCAUGCACGAAAGCGUGGGGAGCAAACAGG
Molecule: ribosomal RNA, 254 nt
Filed under: uncultured bacterium
Lineage: Bacteria
Description: partial 16S ribosomal RNA
Rfam family: Bacterial small subunit ribosomal RNA
Source: RNAcentral